CCUACGGGAGGCAGCAGUGGGGAAUUUUGGACAAUGGGCGCAAGCCUGAUCCAGCCAUGCCGCGUGCAGGAUGAAGGCCUUCGGGUUGUAAACUGCUUUUGUGCGGAACGAAAAGACUCUGGUUAAUACCUGGGGUCCAUGACGGUACCGUAAGAAUAAGCACCGGCUAACUACGUGCCAGCAGCCGCGGUAAUACGUAGGGUGCGAGCGUUAAUCGGAAUUACUGGGCGUAAAGCGUGCGCAGGCGGUUUAUAUAAGACAGAUGUGAAAUCCCCGGGCUCAACCUGGGAACUGCAUUUGUGACUGUAUAGCUAGAGUACGGCAGAGGGGGAUGGAAUUCCGCGUGUAGCAGUGAAAUGCGUAGAUAUGCGGAGGAACACCGAUGGCGAAGGCAAUCCCCUGGGCCUGUACUGACGCUCAUGCACGAAAGCGUGGGGAGCAAACAGGAUUAGAUACCCUGGUAGUCCACGCCCUAAACGAUGUCAACUGGUUGUUGGGUCUUCACUGACUCAGUAACGAAGCUAACGCGUGAAGUUGACCGCCUGGGGAGACGCGCGAGUAGAGUAAGUAGAGUGAGNGNGAGAGNGCGAGGCGACGACGAGGGAGGAGG
RNAcentral lists this ribosomal RNA (610 nucleotides) under uncultured bacterium. Its description in RNAcentral is "bacterial SSU rRNA". The stretch from base 1 to 543 matches the Rfam family "Bacterial small subunit ribosomal RNA", at positions 338 to 873 of the family's 1533-position model. The record is from RNAcentral.